AGUGAACGCUGGCGGUAGGCCUAACACAUGCAAGUCGAACGGCAGCACAGUAAGAGCUUGCUCUUACGGGUGGCGAGUGGCGGACGGGUGAGGAAUACAUCGGAAUCUACUUUUUCGUGGGGGAUAACGUAGGGAAACUUACGCUAAUACCGCAUACGACCUACGGGUGAAAGCAGGGGAUCUUCGGACCUUGCGCGAUUGAAUUAGCCGAUGUCGGAUUAGCUAGUUGGCGGGGUAAAGGCCCACCAAGGCGACGAUCCGUAGCUGGUCUGAGAGGAUGAUCAGCCACACUGGAACUGAGACACGGUCCAGACUCCUACGGGAGGCAGCAGUGGGGAAUAUUGGACAAUGGGCGCAAGCCUGAUCCAGCCAUACCGCGUGGGUGAAGAAGGCCUUCGGGUUGUAAAGCCCUGUUGUUGGGAAAGAAAAGCAGCAGGUUAAUACCCCGCUGUUCUGACGGUACCCAAAGAAUAAGCACCGGCUAACUUCGUG
Molecule: ribosomal RNA, 492 nt
Filed under: uncultured bacterium
Lineage: Bacteria
Description: partial 16S ribosomal RNA
Rfam family: Bacterial small subunit ribosomal RNA
Source: RNAcentral